GGAAAAUGUAUGGAACCCAAAAUAGAAAAGAUUUGGCCUUUGAAUACCAAUCUCAAAUUCAGAUUUUGAGGCCAAGUAUUCAUUCCAGAAGGGCAAAUAUUACUGUGAAAUUCCAAGAUCUAUAUGGGUUUACAGUGGAAGGCAAUGUUGAUGAUGUAAAUGUGUUGAAUGAGGUCAGGGAGAAGGUUAGGGAACAGGGUAAGGUGUGGUGGGCAUUAGAAGCUAGCAAAGGUGUAAAUUGGUAUUUGCAAACACAAGUUACAUCAACCCUUAAAACAUCCCUUAAACUCUCUACUUUGGUGAAUGCAAUUACUCUCA
Molecule: unclassified non-coding RNA, 318 nt
Filed under: Hevea brasiliensis (rubber tree)
Lineage: Eukaryota; Viridiplantae; Streptophyta; Magnoliopsida; Malpighiales; Euphorbiaceae
Source: RNAcentral